This 102-nucleotide transfer RNA is filed under the name Candidatus Bathyarchaeota archaeon. RNAcentral describes it as "tRNA-Ala". It matches the Rfam family "tRNA". Rfam says of the family: Transfer RNA (tRNA) molecules are approximately 80 nucleotides in length. Their secondary structure includes four short double-helical elements and three loops (D, anti-codon, and T loops). Further hydrogen bonds mediate the characteristic L-shaped molecular structure. tRNAs have two regions of fundamental functional importance: the anti-codon, which is responsible for specific mRNA codon recognition, and the 3' end, to which the tRNAs corresponding amino acid is attached (by aminoacyl-tRNA synthetases). tRNAs cope with the degeneracy of the genetic code in two manners: having more than one tRNA (with a specific anti-codon) for a particular amino acid; and 'wobble' base-pairing, i.e. permitting non-standard base-pairing at the 3rd anti-codon position. Lineage: Archaea; Thermoproteati; Candidatus Bathyarchaeota. The record is from RNAcentral.
UAACCGGUAGUUCAGCCUGGAAGAACGCCUGACUUGCACUCAGGAAGUCUUGGGUCCAAAGGCGAAUGUAAAUCCGCCGAACAUAUCCCAACCGGUCCACCA